Molecule: ribosomal RNA, 375 nt
Filed under: uncultured organism
Description: bacterial SSU rRNA
Rfam family: Bacterial small subunit ribosomal RNA
Source: RNAcentral
CGGGGGGGCAAGCGUUGUUCGGAAUUACUGGGCGUAAAGGGCUCGUAGGCGGCCAACUAAGUCAGACGUGAAAUCCCUAGGCUCAACCCUAGGAACUGCGUCUGAUACUGGAUGGCUUGAAUCCGGGAGAGGGAUGCAGGAAUUCCAGGUGUAGCGGUGAAAUGCGUAGAUAUCUGGAGGAAUACCGGUGGCGAAGGCGGCAUCCUGGACCCGGCAUUGACGCUGAGGAGCGAAAGCCAGGGGAGCAAACGGGAUUAGAUACCCCGGUAGUCCUGGCCCUAAACGAUGAAUGUUUGGUGUGACGGGUAUCGAUCCCUGUCGUGCCGAAGCUAACGCAUUAAACAUUACCGCCUGGGGAUACGGGUCGCAAGGCUG